Molecule: non-coding RNA, 365 nt
Filed under: Desulfonispora thiosulfatigenes DSM 11270
Lineage: Bacteria; Bacillati; Bacillota; Clostridia; Eubacteriales; Peptococcaceae
Description: Bacterial small subunit ribosomal RNA
Rfam family: Bacterial small subunit ribosomal RNA
Source: Rfam by way of RNAcentral
UUAAUGGAGAGUUUGAUCCUGGCUCAGGACGAACGCUGGCGGCAUGCCUAACACAUGCAAGUCGAACGGACUUUUAGUUUUUAGUUUACUAAAUUCUAAAAGUUAGUGGCGGACGGGUGAGUAACGCGUGGGUAACCUGCCCAUAAGUUGGGGAUAACUCCGGGAAACCGGUGCUAAUACCGAAUAAGCUUAAUUUACCGCAUGGUAGAUUAAGUAAAGAUGGCCUCUUUACAAUGCUAUCGCUUAUGGAUGGACCCGCGUCUGAUUAGCUAGUUGGUGAGGUAAUGGCUCACCAAGGCGACGAUCAGUAGCCGGCCUGAGAGGGUGAACGGCCACACUGGGACUGAGACACGGCCCAGACUCCU